This is a small nuclear RNA of Ictidomys tridecemlineatus (thirteen-lined ground squirrel), 107 nucleotides long. The record is from Ensembl. NCBI's taxonomy places the organism in Eukaryota, Metazoa, Chordata, Mammalia, Rodentia, Sciuridae.
GUGUUCACUUCAGCAGCACUACAUAUACUAAAAUCAUGAUACAGAGAAGAUUAGCAUGGCCCCUGCACAAGGACAACACACAAAUUCCUGUAGCGUUACAUACUAAA